CUGCGAAUAUUCUCGCUGUCCUGAUCGUCCAGUGGUCAUGGCAGGCUAGACAUUCGCUAUAGCAACACUAUGCAGUGUGUCCCCAGUGCUAGUUUGUAUUGUCUACCUCUGGUUUUUAACUGCUAGUGACAUUC
This is a small nucleolar RNA of Sphaerodactylus townsendi, 134 nucleotides long. RefSeq annotates it as small nucleolar RNA SNORA72. Lineage: Eukaryota; Metazoa; Chordata; Lepidosauria; Squamata; Sphaerodactylidae. The transcript has a single exon. The record is from RefSeq and is a predicted model, not a curated record.